RNAcentral lists this ribosomal RNA (497 nucleotides) under uncultured bacterium. RNAcentral's name for it is "partial 16S ribosomal RNA". It matches the Rfam family "Bacterial small subunit ribosomal RNA", at positions 28 to 507 of the family's 1533-position model. The record is from RNAcentral.
GAUGAACGCUGGCGGCGUGCCUAAUACAUGCAAGUCGAGCGAACAGACGAGGAUCUUGCUCCUCUGACGUUAGCGGCGGACGGUUGAGUAACACGUGGUUAACCUACCUAUAAGACUGGGAUACCUUCGGGAAACCUGAGCUCAUACCGGAUCAUAUAUUGAACCGCAUGGUUCAAUAGUGAAAGACGGUUUUGCUGUCACUUAUAUCUGGAUCCGCGACUCAUUAGCUAGUUGGUAAGGUAACGGCUUACCAAGGCAACGAUGCGUAGCCGACCUGAGAGGGUGAUCGGCCACACUGGAACUGAGACACGGUCCAGACGCCUACGGGAGGCAGCAGUAGGGAAUCUUGCGCAAUGGGCGAAAGCUUGACGGAGCAACGCCGCGUGAGUGAUGAAGGUCUUCGGAUCGUAAAACUCUGUUAUUAGGGAAGAACAAAUGUGUAAGUAACUAUGCAAGUCUUGACGGUACCUAAUCAGAAAGCCACGGCUAAAUACGUG